UCACAAGGAUCCUCACCAACCUAAGAGGAAGCUAAUGAAUCCUGAAAAACCUUAGGAAGCUUCACGAGGUUCUUCCCAACCUGAGAGUCAUUUGCUUCUGAUCCACUAUUGGUAAAGAAGGCUUUUGCCAUUUUUGCUGCGGUAAAAGUUUCUAGAAGUUCCUUUGCAAGAUCCAACGAAGGUUUUGUAGUACGAUUCCAA
This 201-nucleotide unclassified non-coding RNA is filed under the name Hevea brasiliensis (rubber tree). Lineage: Eukaryota; Viridiplantae; Streptophyta; Magnoliopsida; Malpighiales; Euphorbiaceae. The record is from RNAcentral.